This 848-nucleotide ribosomal RNA is filed under the name uncultured bacterium. Its description in RNAcentral is "bacterial SSU rRNA". It matches the Rfam family "Bacterial small subunit ribosomal RNA", at positions 45 to 888 of the family's 1533-position model. The record is from RNAcentral.
GGCUUAAACAUGGCAAGUCGAGGGGCAGCAUUGGAGUAGCAAUACUUCAGAUGGCGACCGGCGCACGGGUGAGUAACACGUAUCCAACCUGCCGCUUACUCGGGGAUAGCCUUUCGAAAGAAAGAUUAAUACCCGAUGGUAUAAAGAGUUCGCAUGUUCUCUUUAUUAAAGAAUUUCGGUAAGCGAUGGGGAUGCGUUCCAUUAGAUAGUUGGCGGGGUAACGGCCCACCAAGUCUACGAUGGAUAGGGGUUCUGAGAGGAAGGUCCCCCACAUUGGAACUGAGACACGGUCCAAACUCCUACGGGAGGCAGCAGUGAGGAAUAUUGGUCAAUGGACGAGAGUCUGAACCAGCCAAGUAGCGUGAAGGAUGACUGCCCUAUGGGUUGUAAACUUCUUUUAUAAGGGAAUAAAGUGAGGGACGUGUCCCUUUUUGUAUGUACCUUAUGAAUAAGGAUCGGCUAACUCCGUGCCAGCAGCCGCGGUAAUACGGAGGAUCCGAGCGUUAUCCGGAUUUAUUGGGUUUAAAGGGAGCGUAGGUUGACGUAUAAGUCAGCUGUGAAAGUUUACGGCUCAACCGUGAAAUUGCAGUUGAUACUGUAUGUCUUGAGUGUACAAGAGGUGGGCGGAAUUCGUGGUGUAGCGGUGAAAUGCUUAGAUAUCACGAAGAACUCCAAUUGCGAAGGCAGCUCACUGGGGUACAACUGACACUGAGGCUCGAAAGUGUGGGUAUCAAACAGGAUUAGAUACCCUGGUAGUCCACACAGUAAACGAUGAAUACUCGCUGUUUGCGAUAUACAGUAAGCGGCCCAAGCGAAGCAUUAAGUAUUCCCCCUGGGGAGUACGCCCG